Molecule: long non-coding RNA, 892 nt
Organism: Falco peregrinus (peregrine falcon)
Lineage: Eukaryota; Metazoa; Chordata; Aves; Falconiformes; Falconidae
Exons: 5
Source: RefSeq, a predicted model, not a curated record
CGGCCUUUCAAAUGCUCUCCCAGGGGUCUCUAAUGCUCACUACCAUGUCCUGGCCUGUUCAAGUGUGCAGUGUUGCAGCAGUGCUGUUAGGAGAAGGCAACAGGUGGACCUCGCAGGCCAGGCAGCGCGGACAGCACUGCUCUAGCAGAAAGUCUAUGAUCUGAUAAGCAAGAAUGAAGGAACCCUGAGCGUGGGCCAGGAAACUUUUCUGUCUAGGGGAAGGUGCGGAUGAGAUGUUCUCCCACCACCUCUGUGCAGAGCCCGUGGAGAGCAGGAUUGAUGCACAGCUCAAAAGAGCAGAGUCUCCCCCAGCCUGGAGGGAAGCAUCACUGCAGCAGCCUAAGAGACAGUCACAGGAUCUUACUUGCACAGACCUGCUGUGGAAGCCCUACAAACAUGAGGUGACCACCACUGUGAGAAAAGCACACCCAGCUCCAGCUUCCCACACCACACCUGCCACUGCUUCCUAUGAGCAUCUUCCAUGGGGAUGACAAACCAGAGGUUCAAAGGCAAAGAACACAAGGAAGGCCAUCUGACAGCAAACACUGCAGAAUGUGAGUUAGAGGCUCCUGUAGUGCUCCUUGAAGAGCCAGGCCUGGAGGCAUCAACAGCUUCUCAGUCCUGAGGGAUCCGAUUUGUCUUUCCCAAGAGCUGCACGUCUCAAGAAACCUUCAGGAGAGAGAUCAACACUGUGCAGCUGUAGGGUCAGAAGGCAGAAGACACACUGGAAUUCCCUCACAGGCAAAGAUAGAUAGGGCUGUUUGAACUCCAUCCAUGCAGAACUUCAGGUCAAGGAUGUCAUCAGCUCUCUGAAUGGCCUGAUAGAGACGAUUCUGCAAGAAAGGCAACCACUAAGGCUUUCUGCUGCGGGCUGAAUCAGGGAAUGAGAACU